GGACAGGAUGUGGAGAAAUUGGAACCUUUGUACAUUGCUGGUGGGAAUGUAAAAUGGUACAGCCACCGUGUAAAACAGUUGGCAGUUCCUCAAAAAGUUAAACAAAGAAUUACCAUAUGACCCAGCAAUUCCACUCCUAGGUAUAUAUCCAAGAGAAUUGAAAACAGGUACUCAAACAGAUACUUGUACACCAAUGCUCAUUGCAGCAUUAUUCACAAUAGCCAAAAGGUGGAAACAACCCAAGUGUUCAUCAACAGAUGAAUAAAAAACCAAAAUGGGGUAUACACAUAUACUGGAAUAUUCAGUCAUAAAAAGGAAUGAAGUUCGGACACAUGCUACAACAUGGAUGAAUCUUGAAAACAUUACUCUAAGUGAAAUAAUCCAAAUACAAAAGGACAAAUAUUGUAGGAUUCCACUUAUAUGAAAUAAUAUAGAAUAGGCAUAUUCAUAAAUAUAGAAAGUAGGUUAGAGGUUACCAGGAGCUGGGGGAAGUGGGGAAUAAGAAGUUAUUGCUUAAUGUGUUCAGAGCUUGUGUUUGGGGUGCUGCAAAAGUUUUGGAACUAGAUAAUGAUGGUGUUUGCACAACACUGUGAAUGUAAUUAAUGUCACCUAAUUGUACAUUCAAAAAUGGUUAAAAUGGCAAAUUUUAUGUUAUAUAUAUUUUACCACAAUAAGAAAAGUUUGCCCCAAUCUAGUUACAUUUCUUUCUGAUCUAUCAUCCAUAGAAUCAAUUCCCACACAUAUUACUGAGGUUUCGGCCAAUAUCAGUUAGCUACAUUUUAUCAUUUUUGUGUGUAUGUGGCUUUCUCCUCACAGGUCCAACUCUACUUCCCCUGGGACAUGCAGGAAUCUGAAUCAAGUAAUGGGUAUAGAGACACCAACAAGUGAUAUGUGUGAAUCGUGAGAAAGAUUAGCCAAAUCAUUAGAGGAUCCCCAAGUCAUGCAGGUUCAGCCCAUUAGACUGGGGAGGAAGUCUGCCUUUGCCACCAAGGGAGGCUUAGUGGUGGUUGGGGUUUAGGGAACUCAAAUCUAUCCAAAUCAACCCUGAUGUUACUAUGCCAAUUCUCAAGGUCCCAUUUUCCCCCCAAUCAAUGGUCUUUUGGUUUCACAUAAAGGACCAGGAGAUCUUGUGAACUCAACCUGCAUUGUAAUUCAGCAACCUGCAGGAUUUGGCUUUAUGUCUGAUUUCAGGCUACAUCAGUUCUGUGACUAGAAGAGAUAGAGAUUUCUUGUUUUUAAAGUAGACUUUAUUUUUUAGAGCAAUUUUAGGUUCGGCAGAGUGUGAGAGGCCCUGUUCUUUCACAUCCUUACCAAUCUUUCGUACUGUUAAUUUUUCACUUUUGCCAAUCUAAGGAGCAUGAAGUGGUAUCUCAUGUGGUUUAAAUUGUCAUUUCCCUGAUAACUAAUGAAGUUGAGCAUGUUUUCAUAUACUUACUGGCCAUUUAGGUAUUCUCUUGUGAAAUGCUCAUUCGACUCUUUUUGCCUAUAUUUCUGUUGAUAUCUGCCCUCUUGUUGAAUUGUACAUUUUAUAAUGUAGAUAUGAAAUAUUUGAUGGCUUAAGUGAUGCAAAUACUUUUUCCUAUUCUGUAAUUUGCCUUUGCACUGUUUAUGGUGUUUCUGAGAGAAAAGAAGUUAUUAUUUUUAGUGUAGUCAAUUUUAUCAGUCCUUGCCUUUUAUUGUUAAUAAUUUUGAUGUCUUGUUAAGAAAUCUUUUACUAUUCCCAAAGUCAAAAAUAUAUCUCCUGUGUUAUCUUCUUUGCUUUUCACAUUUAGGUUUAUAAUCUAUCUGUGAAUUAUCUGAUUUUUCCGAUAUAUGAUGUGAGGUAAACAUCCAAUUUAGCGUUUUUUUUUCUAUUUGGACACCCAGUUGUCCCAACACCAUUUAUUAAAAAGACUGCCCUGGUACCAUUGCUCUACUGUGCCACAUUUUUGUUAAAUCAAGUUUGCAAAUAUGCAUGGGUCUUUUUCUGAGCUGUUUGUCCAAGUAGGCUAGUUUUCUACUCUUGUGCCAAUACUACGAUCCUAAUUACUAUAGCUUUAUUAAAAAAUCUGAACAUCUGAUAAAGCAAGUCCUCCCAUAUUGUUCUUCUUCAGGAGUCAUGGCUAUUUUUGGCCUUUUUCAAUUCUCUAUAAAUUUUGGAAUCAGUCAUGUUCCACAAAACAAUAACAACCCAUCAAUGCUUUAACUGGAAUUGCAUUGAAUCUGUAGAUCAAUUUGGGGAACUGACAUCCUUGUAAUAUUGAGUUCACCAGCCUAUGAACAUGGUAUAUCAUUCCGUUUAUCUACAUCUUCUUUAAUCUCUCUUUAAAGUUAUAUAGUUUUCUCCAUUAAAGAACUUACAUGUCCUCAGAUGUAUUUCUAGGAUUUCUAAGUAACCGAUUUUUAAAUGCCAUUUAAAUGGUAAUUUAAAAUUUUUAUUUUCUAACUGUAUCUGCUUAUAUACAAAAAUACAAUUGAUGUUUGCAAAUUGAUUUUGUACCCAGUGAACUUUACUCCUGGGAUGUUUAUCUCCAUUCUUCAAAUAUUUUCUCCUCUCAUUUAUUUGUUUGUUUAGUCUUACACUUUCUCUGAGACUAUUAUCAAGAUGCUGGCACUUCUAUUUUCCAUUUCUCUUGGUUUUUUAAUUAAUAUUUUCUAUAUUUUUAUUCUUCCCUGCUGCUUUCUGGGAGAAUUCCUCGAUCUGAUCUUCCAAUUCACUUAUUCAUUCUUCAUCUGUAUUCAACCUACUAUUUAUCCCAUCUAUUGCGUUCUCUAUUUCAACUGUAUAUAUUUUUUGUAGCUAAUAAUUCCACUUUUCUGUGCCUGAGGGAAGGGGUAAGGGAUGAUCCUACAGAGAAGGUGGUGAUGAGCUGUCUGGAGAGGUGAGCAGGGGUUUGCCAGAUUAUGAGAGAAAGGAGAAUCAACCUGUGGGUUCAGCAGUAGCCAAGGCCUGGAGACCAGACAGCAGGGCCCAGCUUUUCCUGCUGGGAAUGGCUGGAGCACUGGAAGUAGGGUGGGAGGGAGAUGAGGUAGGAAACUGCGGGGCCUUGUACUUUAUAAGGCCAGAGUCACUGAGGCUGGUGGAGAGAGAGCCUUGACUUGUGAGCUCUGCAGGCUGUGGUAACCUGUGGAAAGAUGGCAGCUUCAAGGCAGUGUUGGAGGACACCCAGCCCUUUGAGGUGAAGAGACUCUCCUCCACUUCAUGCUCCAGCUCCAUCCCCCUUCCCUUGGGCACCUGCCAGAAGGUCCCUCCUUUUUUUCCUGGAGAGGAAGGUAAGUGGAGAUGGGGAAGGAGACAUGGACCCAGAAAAGGCACCCUAGAGAACUUGUGAUUAGAUCUGGAUUUUGUGGGAUGCUGGGGCAGUGGGUGGAGGGAGGGAAGUGAUUCAAAUAAGGAGUAGAGAAAGGCAGCUCUGAUAAAGGCAGGAGUCUGUGUUAGAGAAAGAAGAUGGGGAAGCACCAAGAGCUUGCCUUUGAACAGAAGGCCCUAAUCUGGAAGAAUUUGGGAGCUGAGGCUGGUGAGGGAGGGGCCAGACCCUGGAGGUAACCCCAGGGUCAUGGCCAUCAUUUCUCAAAAGCCACUGCAGGUCAUAGGAACUUCUCUCCCUCCCCUAGCUGCCCCACUGCCUCCUUCCUAGUGGUUUCCUGACACUCAGGCCCCAGGCUCUUCUGAAGUUCUCCCAUCUUUCCCACAGAUCCUUCCCUCUUUGAGGAGAGGGUGCCCCAUGAUUUAUCCUCACUAUCUUCUCCACAUAGGUAGCCCCAGGGCCUUGACAGGAGUGAAACUUCCUGGAUGCUCUGUUCCACUGAUAGCUUCUACAGUGCCUCUUUUCUUUGAGAGGACCCCACACAUCAUCCUUCCAGAGUAAGGGAGAAUUCUUUCUGCCUGACUGCCUUUGAACUGGGACAUCAGCUUUUUUCUGCCUUUGGAUUCGAAAUGGAACAUCAGCUCUUCCUGGGUCUCAAGCCUGCCGGCCUUUGGAAUGGAACUACAGCAUCAAUUCUCCUGGGUCUCCAGCUUGCCAACUCACCCUACAGAUCCCGGGGCUUGUCAGCCUCCGAAAUUGUGUGAGCCGAUUCCUUAUAAUAAAUCUGUCUGUCUCUCUGUCUCUUUCUCUCUCUAUAUAUAUAUACAUAAAUUCUAUUGGUUCUGUUUCUCUGGAUAUAGAUUUGGAAAUAAAUAUUUGUAUAAAUUAAAUCUAUUUAUAUACUGGGUUCUCAAAAAUGAUUUUUAAUAUUGGGAUGCAUUAAG
Long non-coding RNA from Equus caballus (horse), 4231 nucleotides. Lineage: Eukaryota; Metazoa; Chordata; Mammalia; Perissodactyla; Equidae. The record is from Ensembl.